Molecule: ribosomal RNA, 372 nt
Filed under: uncultured organism
Description: bacterial SSU rRNA
Rfam family: Bacterial small subunit ribosomal RNA
Source: RNAcentral
CAGGGGGUGCAAACGUUGCUCGGAAUUAUUGGGCGUAAAGCGCGCGUAGGCGGUUUUCUAAGUCGGAUGUGAAAGCCCUUGGCUCAACUGAGGAAGUGCAUCCGAAACUGGAAAGCUAGAGUCCCAAAGAGGAUCGCGGAAUUCCCAGUGUAGAGGUGAAAUUCGUAGAUAUUGGGAGGAACACCGGUGGCGAAGGCGGCGAUCUGGGUGGUGACUGACGCUGAGGCGCGAAAGCGUGGGGAGCAAACAGGAUUAGAUACCCUGGUAGUCCACGCCGUAAACGAUGGGUGCUAGAUGUCGCUGGUAUUGACCCCGGCGGCGUCGUAGCUAACGCGUUAAGCACCCCGCCUGGGGAGUACGGCCGCAAGGCUA